RNAcentral lists this ribosomal RNA (214 nucleotides) under uncultured Syntrophus sp. RNAcentral describes it as "partial 16S ribosomal RNA". It matches the Rfam family "Bacterial small subunit ribosomal RNA", at positions 1169 to 1382 of the family's 1533-position model. Lineage: Bacteria; Pseudomonadati; Thermodesulfobacteriota; Syntrophia; Syntrophales; Syntrophaceae. The record is from RNAcentral.
AAAGGUGGGGAUGACGUCAAGUCCUCAUGGCCUUUAUGCCCAGGGCUACACACGUGCUACAAUGGGUGGUACAAAGAGCAGCCAGCUCGCGAGAGUGAGCAAAUCUCAAAAAGCCAUCCUCAGUUCGGAUUGGAGUCUGCAACUCGACUCCAUGAAGUUGGAAUCGCUAGUAAUCGCGGAUCAGCAUGCCGCGGUGAAUACGUUCCCGGGCCUU